Molecule: ribosomal RNA, 253 nt
Filed under: uncultured bacterium
Lineage: Bacteria
Also listed under: 1 other name
Description: partial 16S ribosomal RNA
Rfam family: Bacterial small subunit ribosomal RNA
Source: RNAcentral
UACAUGUGGGGCAAGCGUUGUUCGGAAUUACUGGGCAUAAAGGGUGCGUAGGCGGUUUGUUAAGUCACUGGUGAAAGUUUUCGGCCCAACCGGAAAAUUGCCUGUGAUACUGGCGAACUUGAGUGCGUGAGGGGUGGGGGGAACGAGCAGUGUAGCGGUGAAAUGCGUAGAUAUUGCUCGGAAGGCCGGAGCCGAAGGGGCCCCACUGGUACGUAACUGACGCUGAGGCACGAAAGCGUGGGGAGCAAACAGG